RNAcentral lists this unclassified non-coding RNA (394 nucleotides) under uncultured Cortinarius. RNAcentral's name for it is "sequence contains ITS2". The stretch from base 1 to 154 matches the Rfam family "5.8S ribosomal RNA". The record is from RNAcentral. Lineage: Eukaryota; Fungi; Basidiomycota; Agaricomycetes; Agaricales; Cortinariaceae.
AACUUUUAACAAUGGAUCUCUUGGCUCUCGCAUCGAUGAAGAACGCAGCGAAAUGCGAUAAGUAAUUUGAAUUGCAGAAUUCAGUGAAUCAUCGAAUCUUUGAACGCACCUUGCGCUCCUUGGUAUUCCGAGGAGCAUGCCUGUUUGAGUGUCAUUAAUAUAUAUCAACCUCUCUCUUGUUGAGUGGUUUGGAUGUGGGGGGUUUGCUGGCCUGUUCAGCUCCUCUGAAAUAUAUUAGCAGAACAAACCUGUUCAUUGGUGUGAUAACUAUCUACGCUAUUGAAUGUGAGGUGCAGUUCAGCUUUCUAACAGUCCUUGGACAAUUUAUCAUUUAUGUGACCUCAAAUCAGGUAGGACUACCCGCUGAACUUAAGCAUAUCAAUAAGCGGAGGCU